Non-coding RNA from Pelobates cultripes (western spadefoot toad), 389 nucleotides. The record is from the annotation of a GenBank genome assembly. NCBI's taxonomy places the organism in Eukaryota, Metazoa, Chordata, Amphibia, Anura, Pelobatidae.
UCUGGUUCUUGCUUUCAAAUCUCUACAUAAUGCUGCUCCCACCUAUCUAUCCUCCCUUAUACACAAGUAUGUCCCGUCUAGGCCCUUACGAUCUGCUGAAGACUUACGUCUAUCUUCUGUCCGUACUCCCACCUCUGAUGCUCGCCUUCAAGAUUUCUCGAGGGCUGCACUGUUCCUGUGGAACUCGCUUCCCUCCUCUGUUAGAUGCUCACCCAGUCUCCACUCCUUCAAAAAAUCGUUAAAAACCCACUUCUUCAUAAAAGCGUAUCAAUUAAAUUAAUAGCUCCUGACUGAUUCCUCUUCUGCAACUGUCACUAGUCUAAGACUAUCCUUACCUUUUUGUGUAAUUUUACCCCACUCCCUCUAGCAUGUAAGCUCAUUGAGCAGGG